RNAcentral lists this long non-coding RNA (224 nucleotides) under Brassica napus (rape). Its description in RNAcentral is "long non-coding RNA (BNAP_LNC010199)". Lineage: Eukaryota; Viridiplantae; Streptophyta; Magnoliopsida; Brassicales; Brassicaceae. The record is from RNAcentral.
GCAGCAGUCGGAUAUGUAAAAACAAAAUUGGUGUAAUUGUCAACCUAAAAGGUUCUAGCAAUUAACUCACAUCAGGAAGAUUAAAAAAAAAAAUCAAACAAGCUUCAACAGGGUGAAAGAAGACGAGAUUUAAGCUUUGAAAAUAGAUUAGGGUUUUAGAUUUUAUUCUGCAAAGACAUACGGUUAGAUGUAGCUGUAUGUAUGCGGCUGAGGGUUUAAAUCCU